GAUGAACGCUGGCGGCGUGCUUAAUACAUGCAAGUCGAGCGAACGGACGAUUACCUUGCUUCUCUGAUGUUAGCGGCGGACGUGUGAGUUACACGUUGAUACCUUCCCUAUAAGACUGGGGUAACUUCGUGAAUCCGGUGCUAAUACCGGCUAAUAUUUUGAACCGCAUGUUUCAAAAUUGUUAGACGUUCUUGCUGUCACUUAUCUAUGGAUACGCGCUACAUUAGCUAGUUGGUCAGGUAACGGCUUACCAAGGCAACGAUGCAUAGCCAAGCUGAGAGGGGGAAGGGCCACACUGGAGCUGGGACACGGUCCAGAGUCCGAAGGGAGGCAGAAGUAGGGAAUGUUCGGAAAAGGGCGAAAGACUGAAGGAGCAGCGCAGCGUGAGUGAUGAAGGUCUGCGGAGCGUAAGACUGUGUUAGUAGGGAAGAACAUAUGUGUAAGGAACUGUGCACAUCGUGACGGUACCUAAUCAGGAAGCCACGGCUAACUACGUG
This 497-nucleotide ribosomal RNA is filed under the name uncultured bacterium. RNAcentral describes it as "partial 16S ribosomal RNA". It matches the Rfam family "Bacterial small subunit ribosomal RNA", at positions 28 to 507 of the family's 1533-position model. The record is from RNAcentral.